AAGUCGUAACAAGGUUUCCGUAGGUGAACCUGCGGAAGGAUCAUUACCAAUAUAGCGAACCGAGCGUUAGCGAGGCUUCGCGAUCAAAUUGUAUUUAAAACCCAACUCUUUAAAUGUAUAUUAUUAUUGUAUUUUAAAUAAUAAAAGAUCACUUUCAACAACGGAUCUCUUGGCUCUC
Molecule: unclassified non-coding RNA, 178 nt
Filed under: Glomus indicum
Lineage: Eukaryota; Fungi; Glomeromycota; Glomeromycetes; Glomerales; Glomeraceae
Also listed under: 1 other name
Description: partial internal transcribed spacer region
Rfam family: Eukaryotic small subunit ribosomal RNA (bases 1-46)
Source: RNAcentral